Molecule: ribosomal RNA, 244 nt
Filed under: Bacillus halotolerans
Lineage: Bacteria; Bacillati; Bacillota; Bacilli; Caryophanales; Bacillaceae
Description: partial 16S ribosomal RNA
Rfam family: Bacterial small subunit ribosomal RNA
Source: RNAcentral
AGAUGGGAGCUUGCUCCCUGAUGUUAGCGGCGGACGGGUGAGUAACACGUGGGUAACCUGCCUGUAAGACUGGGAUAACUCCGGGAAACCGGGGCUAAUACCGGAUGCUUGUUUGAACCGCAUGGUUCAAACAUAAAAGGUGGCUUCGGCUACCACUUACAGAUGGACCCGCGGCGCAUUANCUAGUUGGUGAGGUAAUGGCUCACCAAGGCAACGAUGCGUANCCGACCUGAGAGGGUGAUCG